GACGAACGCUGGCGGCGUGCCUAAUACAUGCAAGUGGAACGCAUUGAUAUCACCGGAGCUUGCUCCACCGAUAUAAAUGAGUCGCGAACGGGUGAGUAACGCGUAGGUAACCUGCCUGAUAGCGGGGGAUAACUAUUGGAAACGAUAGCUAAUACCGCAUGAGAGUGUUUAACACAUGUUAGAGACUUAAAAGAUACAAUUGUAUCACUAUCAGAUGGACCUGCGUUGUAUUAGCUAGUUGGUAGGGUAGCGGCCUACCAAGGCAACGAUACAUAGCCGACCUGAGAGGGUGAUCGGCCACACUGGGACUGAGACACGGCCCAGACUCCUACGGGAGGCAGCAGUAGGGAAUCUUCGGCAAUGGACGAAAGUCUGACCGAGCAACGCCGCGUGAGUGAAGAAGGUUUUCGGAUCGUAAAGCUCUGUUGUAGCGGAAGAACGCGUGUAAGAGUGGAAAGUUACACAGGACGUACGUACCAGAAAGG
RNAcentral lists this ribosomal RNA (485 nucleotides) under Streptococcus downei. Its description in RNAcentral is "bacterial SSU rRNA". It matches the Rfam family "Bacterial small subunit ribosomal RNA", at positions 28 to 491 of the family's 1533-position model. The record is from RNAcentral. Lineage: Bacteria; Bacillati; Bacillota; Bacilli; Lactobacillales; Streptococcaceae.